AUGCAUCACCACAAAACACAGGUUAACACACAGCUCUCCUGUGACUCUAAUCCCCAGGGGGUAAAAAAAAGUCAAACUGGGGGAAAGAAACAAAAACAAACCUUGAAUGCCAAACCACAUCUGUUACCACAUAUUAGGAACCUAGCAUCUUACCUACCCACCUCUCUCCAUCUGCCAGGUCCCAGCUGUGAGCCAUGCCACCUCCCACAUGCAGUCAGCAGGNACCCUGAUCUGAAGGUGUCAGUGAUGUAGUUUGGUUUCAGAGCUGAAAUUAUGGAGUGAGGAAUAGCGUCUCACUGCCAAGGGAAGAUUUAAAGGUGAGAUGAAGCUCAAGGCCAGGAAUUUGAUGUGUCCUGUUCUGCCAACACAAGGGGGGAUAGGUACUGCUUUAAUCCUGCGGCUGCUCAACCUGACUCCAAGAAGCAGGCUGGGCUAACAAGCUGCAUGCCUGCAGAAAGCAUCAGAAAACUGCUCGGAGCCCUGAAGCAAAAGUGAGGCUGCUUGCGUUUAUAUUAGAACUUGCUCUUGAACUGUGGUGCCCUUGGCCACUGCCAAGUUUCACAUUACUCAGUACACAAAGAAGAGGAACCACUGGACUCAGUACAGGUUCUGAGUACCUGGUGCUUGUGUGAGCAGCACAAAAGGCAGGUUCCAGCUAGAAUUUCCAGACACUUGAAAUUCAAGGUUACCUGGUUUAUCCUGAGGCAGGCCAGAGGCUCCUAGAGCAGGUAGAGACACCGCUAACCCAGGGGGUGUUUGCGAGUGCAGCUUCGGAGAGUGCAUUUUUUCACCCUGGUGGUUCUAGAACACAGGUCUACUCUCCAACUUCAAAAUGGCUGGGCUGACCAAGAACUUCAGGUGAAGGGCCAUCCUGCAGCGAUGGUAAAGAACUCAGGGGCUUGAGAUUUCUAGCAACUUCUGUGCCUCCCUUCAUCCUAAAAGGAUUAGUACCAGACAGGGGAAAAAAAAGGAAGUAGAAAGAACUCCAAGGUCAAACUGGAAAUUUAAUUACUUGAUGCAGUUCUGACCCCAUCUUCAUCUGGACCCUGGUUACCCUGAUCCAUGAGCCUUCUUCCAGUAGAAGCAAUACUGACUUCUGUGAGCAAGUGCUUAUGUUGGCGGCUUCAUCAUAUUUCAAAGCUUUGGUUAAACAGAUCUGUUAUCUUUGUGUAAACAUGUUGCCAUCUGACCACAAUGGCAGCCUUUUAAGGUUGUGAAUGAUCACAUAGUUUUUAAAGCUGGGGUUCACUCUUCACUGCCCUUUUUAACACUGAAGCACCCCAGGGCCCCCUCCAUGCAGAACCAGUCUUGAUUCAAAGCCAGCAGAGUCAACUGUAACUAUCAGCUCACAGGUAACAGGAGCUAGUUACACUAAGAAGUGGCUUCUAUUCGCCUUGUCCACAACAGGGAUACCAACUAAGCCCUGGGUUUCAGUCACACUUGAUCUGCUUUCUAGAGGACCAAGACAUCACAUUCCAGAACAACAACAAGAACAAAAAAACCCUGAAAAGAUAAUCUUUAGAAAAAGGUAAACCACUCCUUUUCUACUAAACAUUAUUGUAACUUCAUUGCUUCAAGCAAGGAGAAAACAAUCACUCAGGGCUUGGGAUUCUUAUGGCCACAGGAAAACAUCAAAAUCAGGAGUAUGGAUUUGAUUAAAUCACUUAAGAAACCAAGCUGGCUGGCACUAUGGCAUUUCUCUGCCCUUGAUACCCUAAAGUGAUGCUUUCUAAGAGAUCCCACAAAAAGUCUCAAAACACAAAGUCCGUUAUCUAAACCUACUGGGAAAGCAACAGUGGCCUAGAACUCUCCCAUUUACUAAGCUUGCUUCAGACUAGAGAAUAACACUGUUUUCCUUCUAAAGUGCGAGUAUAAACAAGUACAGUCAAUCUACCAGCAUAAGGAAGAUUCUUUUUCAUUCUCUCAAUUCUUCCCAAAUACACCAGAAAUAAUCCUCUCGAGGUGCCUUGGGGGCUCGCACGCACACGAGGCCCCACCAGUGGAAGGAGUGUCCACCUCCCAUGCAGCACAGGGACAGCAGGUGCGAGUCUAAAGCAAUUUCAAACCAGGUUCUGAGUACCUGGUGCUUGUGUGAGCAGCACAGUCCACACACGUGCGGAACGCUCCACAGGUCACUCGGAUCUACUGACGUUCCUGUGUUCACCUGCUGUCCAAAAAGCCUGGAGAAGGAAACCACUAUUUUUUGAAAAGAAAACAAAAACAAAAAUCAGCCAGAGUACUCCAGAAAAAAACAGCCAGUCAUACUUGGAAUGUGACCAGAAUGGGUUUCCAAUUAAAACAUGGGAAGCCCCUCAUGUCAGUUACUGCAAUGACUCUAGACUCGGCACCAUCCUUCGUCUUGGGAAGAGCAAAACAAAAGCGAUGAGCUGAUAAGCAGGGGCAAGUGUCAUUCAACAAGAAUUCCUUAUUUAAGAAAAGAAAGAUUGAACAUUCACGUUUCCUAUUUACAAUCACCCCCCACCACCACCACAAUUCUACUUAACGUUAUGUUGCAUAUUUUAUUUUGUUUUUCAAGUUACAUUUCAAGAAAAGGUCAUUUUUUUUUUCUCUCAGCAAUACCUCACAAUUCCUCGAGAUAGCAUAGCAUCUAAACCAUAAACCAUAUCCAACCAGAUCAUAAAUUCUCCAGCUAUCGGCUUUGGUUUAUUGAGACAAAUCCUCAGCUCUGCUGACAGAGAAUAAACAUAAGCAAUUUAGCCCCUUGAACA
This is a long non-coding RNA of Bos mutus (wild yak), 2729 nucleotides long. NCBI's taxonomy places the organism in Eukaryota, Metazoa, Chordata, Mammalia, Artiodactyla, Bovidae. The record is from Ensembl.